AUCCAAAAUGUAGAAGAAUCUCUUUUCAGAACUUCCUGUGUUCCCAAAGAGUGGCAGACUUAUAGGGCCGGACUGAUGGGGACUGGGCUCCCCCACCCAGGACUUGCUGUUUCUCAAGGUCAGAGAGCAAGCAAUCUGAAGACAAACGAAAAUAGGAAGACAGAAAGAAAAACAAUGAGUCAAAUUACCACUUGUUACAACCAAGGUAUGCAGAAUAUCGUCCCUGAAUGCAAAACAUGCCAAACCUUAAAGCACAUGGGCUACGGCCUCAGAAGACCACUCCGGGUGCCACUCCUAUCAGCUAAGAACAGGAAACUGAGGCUACAAAUUCACACAGGCUCAUCAAAACUGGCCAAUGGAAGACUGGAUGAAGGUUUCCUAGUCUGACGAGUCUUGAUUCAAGCUGCAAUAUAAAGAACGUGAAAGCACAGAUCCCUCCUCUGCCUUGCAUCAAUGGUUCAGGCUGUUGGCGAUAGUGUAAUGGUGUGGGGACAUUUUCUUCGUACACUUAGGAAUCAUUAGUAACAAUUGAGCAUUAUUUAAAUGUGACAGCCUACCAGAGUAUUAUCUUGUAUGCAUAAUAGGCAUUAAGAGGUUAAUGGGGUGUGUGAAGGUUUACUGCCUGGGGCAGCCUGAGCUGUAAAUAUGGCCCUGGAGAGGGAUGGAAGUGCAGGCUCAGCACACAGAUUGGCAUAGCUGGCAGUUCUGCCCACAAGAAACUUCACGAAAACCAGUAAGAAGAGAACCACAAUGGUCGAUAGAAGCAGCUGGAAAUCUGGCCGGGUAAAUAUCAUUUUUUACUACUGUCACUGGAGCAUGAGUCACUUAUCUCUCUGCCUAGAAAACUUCUUUAAAGUGUACUGGUCACCGGUCUGACAGACAUGUUAAACAUUUUUAUUGUGACCGUGCCCAUUGGUGUUCUCCCUUGGUCUUCAUCCAUAGUCUUGUUAUAUUCAGUGUGAAGCUUAUGGUAUAAGUUGAAACCCUUGCUCCACAUGUCUCCAGCUCAGCCUGAAAUUCUUUGCAUGGUGAAUAUGGUUCUUUUGCCAUAUUUCGAAGCAAAGUUCAUAUGGGCUUUGUCAUCAAUUUACUCUUUUUACCACAUCCUGGAAAGUUCUUUACUUUUCCUUGACUAGAAAACCUUUUGGUUACUUUUCAAACUGUGGAAUGGCGGGAUGCAAAGUCUUUGGAAAUAGUCUUGUACACUUUAGACUGCUUUUACUGGCUAACAUUUCUGGUCGACUCCGAUAGCAUUCUUGGCUUUGGACCAAGGAACAGGGGGGGGGGGAAGUCAUGUGAGCACACACAAGAUGAGGGCAUUUAAGUCUAAUUGCUUCCACUUUUGUAUAUUUUUGUAUAAGUUUUUAUUUUGUUAUUUUUGUGUCUUAUGCUUUUAUGUAUUGAAUAUGAAAUUGAGAUAUUCUCAUGAUAGAUGUAUAUUACAUGGUGUACUAAAAGGAAAUCAGCAGUGUAUUAAACUUAUCCCCUGUCCACAGGAAAGGGGAUAAGUGUCUGAUCGUGGGGGUCUGCGUUUUCCUGCACAGGGCCCUGGCUCCGCUGCGGCUCUCCUUUGCAGGAGGCAUGCCGGCCGAAGUAUGAUGCCGUAGCCAACACGCCUCCUCCAUAUAUCUCUAUGGGAGAGGUGGGACAGCAGCGUUUGUGCCUCCCCGCCUCUCCCAUAGAGCUGUAUGGAGGAGGCAUGUCCGUCGAGCUCAGUGAGCUUGACGCUAAGCGCAUUAGCUGGCGCAAAACACAGCAAUGCCGGGGCCCUGUUUGGGAGAUAAGUGUCUGAUCGUGGGGGGGUUAGUGCUCGGACCCCCCCCCCCCCCAGGAUCAGACACUUCUUCCCCCUGCGGAUAGGGGUUAAGUGUAUUUUCCUGCAGUUGUCCUUUAAUAUUCAGGGGUGUUAAUAUUGGCCACAACUGUAUAUUCUGCAGUAGGCCAGACUGAUAUGAGAAAGGGUCCCUACCCACUAUACCAGUCCAAAUGUAGACCUAAGGCAUUAGAAUGUUCCGAUAUCUACACCCCAACCCUGCUUAAAAAAAAAAAAAAGGUAGCUAGAAGUGUUGCUAUGCUAUCGCUGUGGCUACCUUUCUACAGCCUAAUCCUACUUAUAAAAGAUGGCAUCUCUAAUUUAUUUAGAUGUUGACAUGACAUGUCCAAUGAUACAAGGCUAUUGGGCAGAGGUGAGCAGAUUCCUAAAUGACAUUAUGGAAGUCCAGAUCUCUGUUACCCACAAGCUGUGUCUGCUGUGACUAAGAUAUCUCCCACAAUAGUCCUGAGCUCAACGCCAAUUACUACAUGUAAAAACAAAAAAUAUGGGCAUUUACAAUAUAACGGCCCUGGUCAUUUUUAUGCUACAUGGUCCCUAUUGAUCCAAUACAGUAGGGAAUACUCAUAAAAUUCCAUCGCAUGCUUGUGGAUGACUUUUUAAACCACAGAUUAUCAAUGAUAUCAUUCCAAGUUACAAUUACAGAAGAGAUUUUAACAAAGAUAGCAUUAAGUGCAGUCAUAUUGGGUUCCACAAUUUAAUUUUGGACAUCUGUCCAUCGGUUAUGUCUGGCAUUGCUACUCUGGGUCAUUUGAAUGAAAAUGAGCUGUAAUAAAACAACAUAUGGACAAGUGUUAUUUUUUUGUUGUUUAACCACCAACUUUUUUCUGCUCCAUACCUAUUCAAGUAUAGAAGUCCAUACCUAUUCAAGUAUAGAGUAUAGUAAGUUAAAAUGUUACUCAGUCAUUUAUUCAUAAGGUUACUGACACAGAAUAACCUCAGUUAAUCCUGCAAUAAACUUUAAUGGCCAAAUACUGCUAUCUGAUUGCUGUGAUAAACAGUUAUCACAUACAUUUUGUCCCAAUACAAAAAUGAGGCUGAAGUAUGAAAAACUUCUGAAAUAUCUGUAUAAAAUCCAUCUCAAUUUCCCUAAAUCAAUCUAUCCUCCUAUACCCUAACAGGGAGAGAUCUAUCAAUCAAGGCUAGAUGAAGAGAGGAAGCGGCAGGGGACUGGCCUAAUGACACCUGGUUUAGGCUGUAUGAACAUGAUGACAGAUUCCUUUUAAAUUCAAUUACCUCAAUCACCUGUUUACACAGAGAAAUGUGCAGCCGAAAGAGGCAAUCAGUUGGCGAAAGCUUGUUCGUUAGCCGAUAGUCGGACCAUGUAAGAGGCCAAGCGAUCAGGAAAACGCAUUCCUAGGAAUGAAUACUCAUUCACUCAAAAAUCGUUCAAUGUAAAAGGACCUUUAGGGCGGACUUCGGGUUCCCACCCACCUAAAAAUGCUAUCAGUCAUUGCGCAAUUCGCCCUCCUUAAUGCCUCCUCCAGGUUUUACUUGAGGUCCCAAACUCUGAUCAUAUCCCUAUAGAUUCUGUCAUAUGGAUCUUACCUAGUAAGAUUAACUCUUUAUUUGGGACUUACAUAAUAAUUUAGCCUCUCAAAUCACAUGUCCCAACUGCAUUUUGGGUAACCUCAACUUACCACUGACUACAACUACCCUCUCUUUUGCUGGUGGCAGGCCCAAGCCUCAUCAUUUAUUAUAUGUCUUAAUGUUUCAUUCGCCUUUCUUCUGCAGGCCUUUUAUACUGUUCCCGAUUCUAAAUAUAUAUUUUGCUACCUUCAAAUUUAGCACUGACCCUACCCUUCCUAUGAAAUGGAUGGAGACUUCCAAAAGUCUACUUUGUAUAAAUGACUUCCAGUUUUCUGGCAUACAAAUAAUGCAGACUAUGGGCAAAGCUCACUUUGCAGAUAAAUGAUGAUUUCAUCCCCUUUAUAGUGCCACUCAUGUAACUGUUUCAAAAAUGUGGUCAAGGCUGAUCAGAGCAGCAUAGCUUCCCACAGCCACCACAUUUACCUAUAGAUCUUACUUCAACAUCAUUUUUUUCAGAUUUUCCAUUUUACUAUAUAUUUUAUAGUAACCAUGAAAUCUUGCAGUUUUAUUUCUGGCCACUAAGACUAAAACUAAGGAGAGACUUCCUCUUCUGCACAGACCAUUUCCCUGUAAUACUUAAUUUUUGUUACACACAGGACUACAGUAAAAGAUGACAGAGAAAACACCAUUCACAAUAGCUGGAGCUCAGCAUUCCUUCUCUGUAAAUGACCCCUGAAAAGGUCACAGAGAAUGCUCAGCUAUGUAUACAGUCCAUUUGAAAUGGCCCUGCUAUAAAAAAUCUCUAAAAGCUGUUAAAAAGAAAAGAUUGCAUAUCCCAUAACGUACAAUAAAAAUUAAAAUUACAAUCAGAAAAUAGAAACAGAAGAAAACACCACCAUAUUUCAGUAUCUGGUUCAAAUUAGUUUAAAAAAAAUCCCUUUAAAAAGGGGUAUUCCGGUGGAAUUUUUUUUAUGAACUGGUGCCA
Long non-coding RNA from Hyla sarda, 4346 nucleotides. RefSeq lists it as uncharacterized. Lineage: Eukaryota; Metazoa; Chordata; Amphibia; Anura; Hylidae. The record is from RefSeq and is a predicted model, not a curated record. The transcript has 3 exons.